ACGCUCGGGUUUCUCUUCAGAUCGCACAAAUCUUUCGCCUUUUACUAAAGAUUUCCGUGGAGAGAAACAGUAAUGAGGUUCUAGCAAAUUUUUGAAGCUCUGCCUCUGUGGAGCU
Eublepharis macularius is the source of this 115-nucleotide small nuclear RNA. RefSeq annotates it as U5 spliceosomal RNA. The transcript has a single exon. NCBI's taxonomy places the organism in Eukaryota, Metazoa, Chordata, Lepidosauria, Squamata, Eublepharidae. The record is from RefSeq and is a predicted model, not a curated record.